This 893-nucleotide long non-coding RNA is filed under the name Trifolium pratense (red clover). RNAcentral's name for it is "long non-coding RNA (TPRA_LNC013279)". Lineage: Eukaryota; Viridiplantae; Streptophyta; Magnoliopsida; Fabales; Fabaceae. The record is from RNAcentral.
UUGAAAACCACAUAAUUUUUACAAAACAAAGAAAUAAAAAAAAAAUGAUUUUCUUGAAGUUGAUCACCUAACUUAUUAUUUGAGCACAAUGCUCAUCAUUAAGUUUGGGGUUGCUCUUGGGAUUUGCAACCUAUUAAGUUUGGGGUGGGGUACUAGAGAACUAAAAGAAAAAUAUUUUGAAAAAGUUUGUGAAAAAAAAAAAAAGAGAAUGUCCCUCAUUAAAAGAAAGGAAAUGGUGAAAGAAAUGAAAAAUAAAUAAAUAGAAUGCAAAAUGCAUAACACCAUGUUUGAAAAAAAAAAUGAAUAAAAAAAAAAUUUGUCGAGGGACUUCUUUGUGAAAAAAAAAAUGUGAGCAUGGAAUGAGUUCAGACAUUGUGAAUUCAUUUGCAUGAGGAAAAAUAUUGUGAUAAUUAAGUUCUCUAGUAUGAAUGUGAUGAUUUUGGGGGAUCAAUUGAUAUGUCCACUUUUGUUUGAAAUAGGUGAUCUUAUAAGCUUCAAGUUUUUUUUACCUAGUUUCCCAAAAAUAUCCACCCUUCAAUAAACCUAAGCCACGCUAUAACCCGGAAAGUCCUCGAAAGGUGCAUAUUCAUUGUAUGUCGAUCGAUUUUUAGAGUCCUUGCAAGCCUAUGAUAGAAAGGUGUAGAUUGUGUUGAUUGAGUGUAUGUCCCUAAACACUUGAGAGAAUUUUGAUUAGAUUGUGUGAAGAGAGAAUUGAGUUUGAUGGAUGAAUGUUGGAUGAAUUGUUUUGAAUUUCCGAUUGGUUGUUAGUAGAUGAAAGUGACCUUGAGCAUGAUAAUUUUUGUAAAAUGACAUGUUUUGUUAUUGAUUACGGAGAUAGAUUAACAUGAAUGUUUGGUUUGGUGUUUGAGGUUGAGUUGCACUCUUUUGAAAGC